AGCAAUGUGGCCUAGUGGAUAGAGUAUGGGCUUGGGAGUCCUAAGGACCUGGGUUCUAAUCCUGGCUUUGCUA
This 73-nucleotide transfer RNA is filed under the name Ornithorhynchus anatinus (platypus). It matches the Rfam family "tRNA". Rfam says of the family: Transfer RNA (tRNA) molecules are approximately 80 nucleotides in length. Their secondary structure includes four short double-helical elements and three loops (D, anti-codon, and T loops). The record is from Rfam by way of RNAcentral. Lineage: Eukaryota; Metazoa; Chordata; Mammalia; Monotremata; Ornithorhynchidae.